CGCUUCAAUGCCUAUAAUUUGAGAGAUAAGAGGAAAGCCCUCUCUCGAAUUCGAAGAUGUAACACAAAUAAUGACUCUCUUCGCCGGGAUGUCAGCAGGUUAGGCAGCUCUAAGGUUUUUUAUAUUCGGUGGAAGGCAGGCUGAAACUCUGCCCCAACCAAGUGAAACUAAGGGUCUGAAAGAGUUCACGAUCUGAUCUAUGGGGUGUUAACCCUCGGAGGACGGCUAAGAAUGUCCAUUAAAAGGAGCGAUGGGGUCGUUUUUCAAG
This 268-nucleotide long non-coding RNA is filed under the name Nicotiana benthamiana. Its description in RNAcentral is "long non-coding RNA (NBEN_LNC003398)". The record is from RNAcentral. Lineage: Eukaryota; Viridiplantae; Streptophyta; Magnoliopsida; Solanales; Solanaceae.